UGUAGGAUAUUUUAAUGUAAAAGUGGAAUUCUUGGUAUUAUUUUACUCUGACAGCAUUGAAUGAAAUAUAAUGAGGUGUGGUGUAUUAUUUUACUAAUUUAAUUUUUAAAAAUUUCGUCUGUCAUGUAUCAGAGAUUAGUUUACCUUCUUGUAGAAACCAUGCUGUGUUAUCUCCUACUCUACUGCUGUUUUCGUGCAUAUUUUUGUAAUUUUGAAAUGUAUUUUGUUUUAGGUAUUGAAGAAGCGGCAACAGCCACAGGAAGUAGCCAUCUUAUCCAGCAUGUUAUGGGUACAACUUGGCGGCUCCUGCUCCUGCCUUCCGCCACCACCCUGUCCCGACUGCGUCCACUAGAGAGUUGGCAGCCUUAGUGAUGAUGCCAAGCAGGCCGACGGCAGACAGCAAGAUGCAGGUUGCCGCGAAAUUCUACCCAAGCUGUGCCACACACUUGAGCCAGGCCUCUUGGAAAGGACGCAUAACCCGACUCCAUGCGUUGAUGUCAGAUGAUGCCAGGGAUCAAGGCAACCUGUUUUGCUCCAGCAUUCAACACUUGGUGACCCCUCUACAUGUUUCACCAAUUUCGCAGCUGUACCUCGGCUGCCAUCUAUCCAAACAGCAUCGCCAGCUGUGACCACUUAUCGAACCAUGAGCAAAUAUUGGCGUGAAGUGUUCGCUGGGCUUCACAUUCUAUUUGCUCCUUAAGAUUCCUAGCAAAUACUCCUGUUAUAAUUUGUGUGUUUAGUACCCAAUUUUCAAUAUUUCCUUUCUCUUGGAAUUCUUAACAUCAUCUCCUUCUAUUAUAUCUGUAUUUAUGCCCAGUUUCUCUUAGUUCUUUUGUACUUGUGUAUGUAAUUGAUAGGUUCUUAACUCUUGUAAUGCAUACGGCUAAAAUGCUGACUUACGUCAUGUUUUGUUCAUUUAUUAAUUUGCAGCGCUGUAGAAUGUUAAAACAUUUUACUUAACUAGGGCUCUAUGGCAAGAUAAAUUCAAGAGGAACAUGCAGGCACUUAUUUCAAGCACCUAUUAUUUUUGAAAAAAAGGAAAGAACAUAGGAGCGUGAAAAAGAAAACAGUAUUAAAGUAUGGAAACUUGGCUGCCCACCAUAAGUGAUGUGACUUCCUUUCACUGCAAUGAUACCAGUGGCACUGGUGGAUGUUUGAAGCAUGAAACCCAUGAUACCCUUGGCAUUCGUCAGCGUGGCAAAUGGGUUUGCCACACUUAAGAAUGCCAACGGUAUUGUAGGUUUCAUGCAGACAUUGGUUGUGUUACACCUUAUGAGUAUUGCAUUUCUCGAACAUGAAGGUUUACAGCAGUGCUUUGAAUGACACAUAUAUUUCCUAAUUUUCAGAAUUUAUGAAUGCAAGAGUAAUGGUACAUGUACGCUCAUGUAAAAAUUAUUUUACAGACUAUAUGCCCAUAGAUACACACUUCUUCUGAUGACAUAGCAACGACAGGGGGUGGCGGGAUGUAUGUCUUUAUUUCAGAUUUAAAUAUUGCCUUCCAGGCCUGGGUUAGUCUACUACAUUGAGGAUUCUAGGCCAGAGUCCCUGCACUAGAGGGAAGUGAAUUAAACUAAGAAUCAUAAAUAUGAAAAUAUCUUGUUCGUGGCACCAAUUUGACAAUCAGCAAGGUUCUUUCUGCAUUCAUUUCGAAAUUUGUGAUAUAUUUUAUAUGACUGGCUUCAUUAAUGUGAGAACAAAUAUUUGUUUAUUGUCAACACAGUUGAUGGCACCCAUUUCCACACCAUUCCUUUACAGGCUAAAAAUUCUAUGUAUUAAUGGGGUGUUUAAGGUUUUGCGCACUCAAUGUUAAGGGAUCCAAAUGGUGGCAUAGAACAGAAUGCAAGAAAGAACGAAGGAAUGCAAGUAGGGUAUGGGGCUUUGUAGGCAGACGCUUUGGUGUGCUAUUUCUAAAGCUCCCUACGGUCUGCCUGAAGGCAUUGCCUAACGCUUCGGCUGAAUACAUUGGCAGCCACAUAUUAAGGGGAAAUGCUCCUCGAAAUAAAUUUUUAAAAUUAUUUCUGCGAGAGAUUUGAA
Dermacentor silvarum is the source of this 2034-nucleotide long non-coding RNA. RefSeq lists it as uncharacterized. The record is from RefSeq and is a predicted model, not a curated record. The transcript has 3 exons. Lineage: Eukaryota; Metazoa; Arthropoda; Arachnida; Ixodida; Ixodidae.